This 45-nucleotide non-coding RNA is filed under the name Schistosoma margrebowiei. The record is from RNAcentral. Lineage: Eukaryota; Metazoa; Platyhelminthes; Trematoda; Strigeidida; Schistosomatidae.
AUCCAGCUGACGAGUCCCAAACAGUAGGAAAUGCGCGUCAUGGAU